Molecule: long non-coding RNA, 1648 nt
Organism: Lagopus muta (rock ptarmigan)
Lineage: Eukaryota; Metazoa; Chordata; Aves; Galliformes; Phasianidae
Exons: 2
Source: RefSeq, a predicted model, not a curated record
UACAUCACUUAUGUUCUGCUUGCUCUUUCUUCUUUCUCCCCUCUACUUGCUCCUUCUGAGGUGCCAACAUGUUUCAGAAAAUGAAUCUCAUAGUGAAUGGACUGCAGCAUGUUGUUCUCUCCCAGUCUUACUGACAAACUAAAUUCAGCAUCUAUAUCAAUUACUUUGCACAGAUUUCUCUCUCAAAGUGUGUCACCCUUCAAGGGAGGACUAAUGAUGCUAUUGCUUCUGCUGGCACUGUCAGACUUUGCACUAAUUUUUGGGGAACACACAGGAAGGAGGUUCAUGGCCCUUUAUCCCUUUCUCUUAUCCUGAAGAAGAUCUGCACUUCUCAAACCACAGUAACUGUUACUUUUAGGCAGGAAAAUAGAAGCAUCUGAACCACACAACAUGAAAUAUUUCUUAGAAUUUUUCUCCAUGGAAAGGAAGAGGCUGUAUAAAGAAGAACUGACAAAUCACUUAUUUCAAAACUGGAAGGAAACUUUUAAAGCGCUCAGAAAAGUUGCACAUGGAGCUAUUUUAAAACUAACAACAGAGUGAUGACAUCUUGGAAUGAAUUCCUAUGGAAUUUGAAAGCAGAGGGUAAAUUAGUUUCAGAUGGACGACAGAUAAUUUUUUUUUUUAAAUGCCUAAGUGAGUUAGAAACCUAAAUCUUCAUUUCAGACAUGACUAAAGGCACUUAGAGACAGAUUUCUUGAAAAUAUGACUUGGCUUCCUGAGUAAUGGGCACACCUGGAAAGCUGUCUAAAUGAAAGGCAGUUUUCUUUGUAAAGUACAAAACUUUUUAGACACCCUUAUUAGGGGAGGAUUGCAAGGAGUAUUACUGGGUAUUGUCAAGAUGAAAUUUGAAGAAAAAAGGUUUCUUAGAAGUCUCAAGAUUUGGCCUAAAGGAUCUCAGGUUAUUUACUGAUGUUUCUUGCUUCCCUAGAUGAGCAGUUCUAGAUACAGCAGAUAGGAAUACGAAGGGGAUUAGUGAAAGCAAAUUAUGUAUAGAUUUUUAUCAGUAAGCAAUAAGGAGAAAAAUCAGUUUUCCCAGAAAUCCAAGCAAAAGGUACAUGUAUGUAGUAAUUUAUCCUAUAAUGUUCUUCAGAGAAGGAUAUGCACUGAGAAAUGUAUUGCUGUCUUUGAGAUGUCUCUGUGCUGCAAGACGACCACAAACAUUUCAUGUAGGAUGUGCAUGUCCUGUCUGUUCUCUAAUCAGUCCUUGUGCAUUAUGUGCUUUGAAACCCACUGUGAAGUAAGUUGACUUAUUUUGUUAAUUUAGCAGUUAAAAUGUGAAUUAUUCUUAAUGCUCAGAAGGGAUUGCUGAAUUUUCUCUUCUUACAGCCUAAGACUGUUUGCACACAAAUGGCAAACUAUAUUAUCUCCGCUUAUUAUGCUAAUACCUUAGGUCCCAAGUCUAUACGUCUUAUGACAAUUUUAAUACAAACUAUUGGAUAAGGAUUGCUCUUAUUCUGACACUGAAAACAUAAUCUGAGUGAUCGUAGAAUUAAGUAUCAGAAGUGUAUGUAUCAUUUGACCUAAGUGAGGGAUGUUAUAACAUCAGGUUUUCUUUAUGAACACUUAUUCUCUAUAUACAGCUAUACUUUUUAUGAUACUAUUUACAAUUAGCUCACUAUGGUGGAACCUAUAUUGAAACAAAUCUUUG